CCGAGUUUACAACUCCCAAACCCCUGUGAACAUACCUUAACGUUGCUUCGGCGGACAACCCUCGCCUUAAACCGCGAGGCCCCGCCAGAGGACCCAAACCCCAACUUUAUGUUUUAUCUUAAACCUACAUCUCUGAGUGGAUUUUAUAAAUCAAAUCA
This 158-nucleotide unclassified non-coding RNA is filed under the name uncultured Neonectria. Its description in RNAcentral is "sequence contains ITS1". Lineage: Eukaryota; Fungi; Ascomycota; Sordariomycetes; Hypocreales; Nectriaceae. The record is from RNAcentral.